GAUGAACGCUGGCGGCGUGCCUAAUACAUGCAAGUCGAGCGAACAGACGAGGAGCUUGCUCCUCUGACGUUAGCGGCGGACGGGUGAGUAACACGUGGAUAACCUACCUAUAAGACUGGGAUAACUUCGGGAAACCGGAGCUAAUACCGGAUAAUAUAUUGAACCGCAUGGUUCAAUAGUGAAAGACGGUUUUGCUGUCACUUAAAGAUGGAUCCGCGCCGCAUUAGCUAGUUGGUAAGGUAACGGCUUACCAAGGCAACGAUGCGUAGCCGACCUGAGAGGGUGAUCGGCCACACUGGAACUGAGACACGGUCCAGACUCCUACGGGAGGCAGCAGUAGGGAAUCUUCCGCAAUGGGCGAAAGCCUGACGGAGCAACGCCACGUGAGUGAUGAAGGUCUUCGGAUCGUAAAACUCUGUUAUUAGGGAAGAACAAAUGUGUAAGUAACUAUGCACGUCUUGACGGUACCUAAUCAGAAAGCCACGGCUAACUACGUG
Molecule: ribosomal RNA, 497 nt
Filed under: uncultured bacterium
Lineage: Bacteria
Description: partial 16S ribosomal RNA
Rfam family: Bacterial small subunit ribosomal RNA
Source: RNAcentral